AACGCGAAGAACCUUACCUGGGCUAGAAUGCAGAAUGACCGUGAGUGAAAGCUCACCUUGUAGCAAUACACAUUUUGUAAGGUGCUGCAUGGCUGUCGUCAGCUCGUGCCGUGAGGUGUUGGGUUAAGUCCCGCAACGAGCGCAACCCCCAUCACUAGUUGCCAUCAGGUAAUGCUGGGAACUCUAGUGAAACUGCCGUCGUAAGACGUGAGGAAGGAGGGGAUGAUGUCAAGUCAUCAUGGCCUUUAUGCCCAGGGCUACACACGUGCUACAAUGGAGAGGACAAAGGGCAGCAACACAGCGAUGUGAAGCUAAUCCCAAAAACCUCUUCUCAGUUCAGAUUGCAGUCUGCAACUCGACUGCAUGAAGCUGGAAUCGCUAGUAAUCGUAUAUCAGCAAUGAUACGGUGAAUACGUUCCCGGGCCUUGUACACACCGCGAGC
This 442-nucleotide ribosomal RNA is filed under the name uncultured bacterium. RNAcentral describes it as "bacterial SSU rRNA". It matches the Rfam family "Bacterial small subunit ribosomal RNA", at positions 958 to 1397 of the family's 1533-position model. The record is from RNAcentral.